AUGCAAGUCGAACGAGGCCCUCUUCCUUCGGGAGGAGGUGUCCUAGUGGCGAACGGGUGAGUAACACGUUGGUGACCUACCCCGAAGAGGGGGACAACCCCGGGAAACUGGGGCUAAUACCCCAUGUGAUCCUAAGGAUUAGAUGCCUAAGGAUGAAAUGGAGCAAUUCGCUUCGGGAGGGGCCUGCGGCCUAUCAGCUAGUUGGUGAGGUAAUGGCUCACCAAGGCGACGACGGGUAGGGGACCUGAGAGGGUGACCCCCCACACUGGAACUGAAACACGGACCAGACACCUACGGGUGGCAGCAGUAGGGAAUAUUGCACAAUAGGCGAAAGCCUGAUGCAGCAACGCCGCGUGCGCGAUGAAGGCCUUAGGGUUGUAAAGCGCUUUUCUGGGGGAAGAGAAAGGACGGUACCCCAGGAAUAAGUCUCGGCUAACUACGUGCCAGCAGCCGCGGUAAAACGUAGGAGGCGAGCGUUAUCCGGAUUUACUGGGCGUAAAGCGCGUGCAGGCGGUUUGGUAAGUCGGACGUGAAAGCUCCCGGCUCAACUGGGAGAGGCCGUUCGAAACUACCAGGACUAGAGGGCAGCAGAGGGAGGUGGAAUUCCAGGUGUAGCGGUGAAAUGCGUAGAUAUCUGGAGGAACACCAGUGGCGAAGGCGGCCUCCUGGACUGUCCCUGACGCUAAGACGCGAAAGCUAGGGGAGCGAACGGGAUUAGAAACCCCGGUAGUCCUAGCCGUAAACGAUGCACACUUGGUGUUGGUGGCGUAAAAACCUUCAGUGCCGCAGCUAACGCGAU
RNAcentral lists this ribosomal RNA (799 nucleotides) under uncultured bacterium. RNAcentral's name for it is "bacterial SSU rRNA". It matches the Rfam family "Bacterial small subunit ribosomal RNA", at positions 55 to 861 of the family's 1533-position model. The record is from RNAcentral.